GAGGCAGCAGUGAGGAAUAUUGGUCAAUGGACGAGAGUCUGAACCAGCCAAGUAGCGUGAAGGAUGACUGCCUAUGGGUUGUAAACUUCUUUUAUACGGGAAUAAGUGAGGCACGUGUGCCUUUUUGUAUGUACCGUAUGAAUAAGGAUCGGCUAACUCCGUGCCAGCAGCCGCGGUAAUACGGAGGAUCCGAGCGUUAUCCGGAUUUAUUGGGUUUAAAGGGAGCGUAGGCGGACGCUUAAGUCAGUUGUGAAAGUUUGCGGCUCAACCGUAAAAUUGCAGUUGAUACUGGGUGUCUUGAGUACAGUAGAGGCAGGCGGAAUUCGUGGUGUAGCGGUG
RNAcentral lists this ribosomal RNA (339 nucleotides) under uncultured bacterium. RNAcentral's name for it is "bacterial SSU rRNA". It matches the Rfam family "Bacterial small subunit ribosomal RNA", at positions 345 to 683 of the family's 1533-position model. The record is from RNAcentral.